RNAcentral lists this ribosomal RNA (497 nucleotides) under uncultured bacterium. Its description in RNAcentral is "partial 16S ribosomal RNA". It matches the Rfam family "Bacterial small subunit ribosomal RNA", at positions 28 to 507 of the family's 1533-position model. The record is from RNAcentral.
GAUGAACGCUGGCGGCGUGCCUAAUACAUGCAAGUCGAGCGAACAGACGAGGAGCUUGCUCCUCUGACGUUAGCGGCGGACGGGUGAGUAACACGUGGCUAACCUACCUAUAAGACUGGGAUAACUUCGGGAAACAGGAGCUAAUACCGGAUAAUAUAUUGAACCGCAUGGUUCAAUAGUGAACGACGGUUUUGCUGUCACUUAUAGAUGGAUCCGCGCCGCAUUAGCUAGUUGGUAAGGUAACGGCUUACCAAGGCAACGAUGCGUAGCCGACCUGAGAGGGUGAUCGGCCACACUGGAACUGAGACACGGUCCAGAGUCCUACGGGAGGCAGCAGUAGGGAAUCUUCCGCAAUGGGCGAAAGCCUGACGGAGCAACGCCGCGUGAGUGAUGAAGGUCUUCGGAUCGUAAAACUCUGUUAUUAGGGAAGAACAAAUGUGUAAGUAACUAUGCACGUCUUGACGGUACCUAAUCAGAAAGCCACGGCUAACUACGUG